This is a long non-coding RNA of Triticum aestivum (bread wheat), 357 nucleotides long. RefSeq lists it as uncharacterized. The transcript is spliced from 3 exons. The record is from RefSeq and is a predicted model, not a curated record. NCBI's taxonomy places the organism in Eukaryota, Viridiplantae, Streptophyta, Magnoliopsida, Poales, Poaceae.
AACAACAUCUUGUGGUUCUACCCAAGGGUUGACGCCGAGCACCGGGCCGUACUGCAGGAGUAGCGCCCUGCGUCCUUUGUCAACGUCCAUAGCAUCAAGGACCUCCUCACGCCCCUGUGCAGAUGGCGCUCGCUCGUGAUCACAGGAAACCGAACGACGCAUGUGCCCGUUGUCUGUCAGCGCCGACAAGGUUGGUUCUAUGUUAAGGCCCUGCGUCCUCACGUAAGAGGGCAUGAUUCAUAAGCAAACAAAUACUUCAGGCACGAUGGAUAUUGAUGUAGACUACAUCAAAGUGCUGCAGGACCAAAUUGAGAAAAAUUGUGGUGGUGAUGAUUGAUCUGUAUUUUUUUGAAGGGG